UACGUAGGCAGCGAGCGUUGUUCGGAGUUACUGGGCGUAAAGGGUGUGUAGGCGGUUGUUUAAGUUUGGUGUGAAAUCUCCCGGCUCAACUGGGAGGGUGCGCCGAAUACUGAAUGACUUCGAGUGCGGGAGAGGAAAGUGGAAUUCCUGGUGUAGCGGUGAAAUGCGUAGAUAUCAGGAGGAACACCGGUGGUGUAGACGGCUUUCUGGCCUGUUCUUGACGCUGAGGCGCGAAAGCUAGGGGAGCAAACGGG
RNAcentral lists this ribosomal RNA (254 nucleotides) under uncultured bacterium. RNAcentral's name for it is "partial 16S ribosomal RNA". It matches the Rfam family "Bacterial small subunit ribosomal RNA", at positions 524 to 776 of the family's 1533-position model. The record is from RNAcentral.